GGUAUGUAAUUACAAUCGUUAAAAAGUCUCUUUUAGUCGAUAAAAUCUUUAAAAUUGCAGCAAACUCUGGAAUGUCCCUUUAAUUUAAAGAAGACAAACAAGAAGGAAUUAAGCUAAUAUAGAUAACAAAAAGAAAGGUCUAUAUUCUAGGUAACUGAAGACUCACAAAUAAAAAAACUGUUUCCAAAUGUAUUUUAUUAAGAAGAAAGUUAAACUUUGUUUUGUUUAACGACACCAUGGAGUACAUUGAUUAACUAACCAUUGGUUACUGGAUGUCAAAUAUUUGUUAAUUCUGAUACGCAGAACCGCUACUUUUUUCAAUUAGCAGCAAGAGAUCUUUUAUAUGUAUGCUUCUAUAGACAGAACAACAGGUACCACGGCUUUUGAUACAGCAGUAGUGGAACACCGGUUAUGGAGGGUAAAACACCAAGACGUGGUAACAUUAUCACAUUUGUGCUAAAACAUGACCACUGACCCAUCCCCGCAAAAUAAUUAAAAAAACUAUAGCAACAACACACGAAAAACACAAAGAAAGUACUAAAAUUAAGAAACACCAAAACUAACGUCCAAUUACUAUAAUAUUAUAUCAAGAGUCAAGAGAAUAAUGACAAAUUAUUUAUGGGUAACGCAAACACAAAUUUAAUUAUUUAAAUUUGUGUUUGCAUAAAUAUUUUUCUUUAUUUUUCUCAGAAUCUUGAUAUAAUAUUAUAGUAUUGGCAAAACCUGUCUUGACCAUGUAAAUAAUGUCUUAAAUUUAAUGAACGAACGAAAAAUGGGUUCUACACAAUUAGAUCCUUCUCGCCGUUUUCAAAGGCCUGUUCUAUUAAUUAUUAUCAAAAUAUUUUAUUUUUUUUAGAUUAGUAAACAAUUGAAAAACAAACCUUUUCAUUUUGUAUACGUUUUUUUUGAUAUUUUCACAGUUUUGUUACUGUCGCAAACGUAUAAUUUAAACCAAAAUGAGUUUUGCCGGAGCACUGGUUGAAAAAUUAUACACAUUGUAGGAAUUUUGUUGUUUUUGUUGCUAUUAUGGAAAAGGUUUAUGCAUUAAAAAUGACCUUACCUACAUCAAGUAACGAUUCACAGGUGACGCUGUCGUUCAGGCAAUGUUGUCACAGUUUUACUAGGAAUUACCAGGAAUAACCCAGCGCUGUUCAAUUCACAUAAUCUUAGUGAGUACACAAUGGCAGAAACCAUUAAACCCAGGCGCGCGUGUGUGUGUGUGUGUGUGUGUGUGUGUGUGUGUGUGUGUGUGUGUGUGUGUGUGGUGUGUAGUCGGGUGUUGAAUCCCUUCCUUGCUCAAACAAAUGUUAUUUUUUAUCAGUAUAUUUUAGUGGAUAGUAUGACUUGACUCCCUAUAAACUUCGGUCGCCAUAUUCUUGAUUCCCUACCCCCUCCCCACCCUGCUAAAAUCCCUGCACACGCGCCUGUUUAAUCUAUUGACAAGCAAAGAACGUUUAGAUAAAAAAAAGUCGACAACAGGAAACAAUCAUAGAUUAACACGAUAAUAAUAACUCAUCAUUCUUAAUUUGUUCGUUGUUCACACACUAGUUUAAAAUCCACAAUUUAGACUACUUAUUUCGUCUUUAUAGUUUAGAAGUUUGAUAUUAAAAUUAAGUUUUAUCUAAUCUCUAGUAGUUUUUACAUGAAGUGAAUCCAUGUCGGACCCAUUCCAGUUCGUUCUAUUUUGACACAGAAUAGUUUAAAAUCCACAAUUUAGACUUCUGAUUUCGUCUUUAUAUUUUAGAAGUUCGAUUUUAAAAUUAAGUUUUAUCUAAUCGCUAAUAGUUUUUACUUGAAGUGAAUCCAGGUCGGACCCAUUCCAAAAAAAUAAAUAAAAUAAUGAUUUAGCAUUGCUUGACAAAGACAAAACAAAUAGAACAACCUGUAAUGUCCGUUUAGGUGUUGACGUUUUCAAAGUCUUAAUCCAAGAAAAAGAAAAAAAAGAGAGGAAAGAUGGAACAGAAUUUAACAGCAGAUAGUCAGAACAGUUUAUAAAAUUUACUUUCCAAUGAUCUGAAAAUGACAAACGUUUGACAUCAAAAGCUUUUGCCGUGAAUACGUCAUGUCUGUAUUGUUUAUUGGUGCCAUGGUAACACGCAUUGGCACAAACACCAACAAAACAUAAAUGGUUACUGCUUGAUUCCAUUGAUAACUGUUAGAAAUGAAAACAAAACUAUAGGAAUCAAAAAUCCUAUCUGUGUCCAACAGGUUUUAAUCGUUAUUGUUUGUUUUGGCUCAAGCUUGGUCUAAGAGGAUUUGGUGUGAUCGUCACAUGACCAACUCAGAUAUGCCAUGUUUAUUUUAACACAUCACAGUGUCACGUGGUGCUUUCACCUGUAAUUAGCGGUCUGGAAUCAACAUCAAACGACCCACCUGCUGUUCUAUUCACCGCAAACCAGUGAUGUCCACUCUUCGGGCUGUAUAAAUACCUACCUGUGAUGUGGUGAAGUCACAACACAACCAGCACUCAUACCUCUAUAGGAAAUCUGAUAAAGAAAAACAAACCUCUAUCCAAAAUGAUGAAAUUCGCCAUUGUUCUCCUCGUUGUCGUUCUGAUGUGCCAGGUUGCGGUGAACAACGCCCAUCACUGCGGCAGUAAAUGUUGCUGUCACUCACACCACAGCAGCAGUACCAGUGUCCACCACAAGAGCUCCAGUAGCAGUCUGGGAGGAGGGUUCGGACUGGGAUUGGCAGGUCUGGGUGGGAAGUAAUGAUCACGACAUCAGAUGGACGAGGGUGGACUAUGGAAGAUGUGCUCUGUUGAAGGAUCUGGAUUUAUGUUUGUUUUAUGUCAUAUUGCAUAAUAUGUUAAUCAAUAAAGUUUAUGAUUAUUA
RNAcentral lists this long non-coding RNA (2834 nucleotides) under Gigantopelta aegis. RNAcentral describes it as "uncharacterized LOC121380785". Lineage: Eukaryota; Metazoa; Mollusca; Gastropoda; Neomphalida; Peltospiridae. The record is from RNAcentral.